ACCCUUAACUCGGAUAAAUGUUUUACAGUUGGAAUAAAGGGGCAACCGAAACAGAAGUGUACUGUGGUCAUCCCAGAGACCUUCCGUAUCGGUUCGCGCUCGUGUCCUGCAUUGAAGCGCACAGACGAGUGGAAGUAUUUAGGCAUAACAUUCACUGCACAAGGGAGGACCAGGUACAGUCCAGCCGACGACCUAGGUCCGAAGCUGUUGAGGCUGACAAGGUCCCCCCUAAAACCACAACAGAAAUUGUUCGCACUCAGAACAGUUCUUAUCCCACAACUUUACCAUAAGCUGACCCUAGGUAGUGUGAUGAUAGGUGUUCUGAGAAAGUGUGACAUACUGGUACGUUCGACCGUAAGGAAGUGGUUAGGGCUUCCUCUGGACGUGUCAACUGCAUUCUUCCAUGCUCCUCAUACUUAUGGGGGCCUCGGAAUCCCUUCAGUUCGUUGGGUAGCGCCAAUGCUACGUAUGAAAAGAUUGAGCAAUAUUAAGUGGGCCCACCUCGCGCAAUCCGAGGCGGCCAGCUCAUUUCUUACCGACGAAUUGAAUAAGGCCCGGGGUAGAACUCUGGCUGGACUGAAUGAGUUGACAUCGCGUACAGAGAUCGAAACGUACUGGGCGAACAGGUUGUAUAUGUCUGUUGAUGGUCGCGGCUUACGUGAAGCGGGACUUUUUCGUCCCCAACACGGCUGGGUGUGUCAGCCCACGCGUUUGCUAACAGGUCAAGAUUACCGAAACAGUAUCAAGCUGCGAAUAAAUGCCCUACCAUCGAGGUCUCGUACCACGAGGGGCAGAAAUGAAUUGGAACGGCAAUGUCGUGCAGGUUGUGAUGCUCCCGAAACAACAAACCACAUCCUGCAGAAUUGUUACCGUACGCAUGGGAGGCGGGUAGCAAGACAUAACUGUGUAGUCAAUAACCUUAAGAGGAUUCUUGAGGAGAAGGGCCACACAGUACACGUCGAACCAAGUUUGCAGCUGGAAACCUCGGUAAGUAAACCAGACCUGGUGUGUAUCCGUGACAAUCACGCUUGCGUGAUUGAUGCGCAGAUUAUAACGGAUGGACUGUUUCUCGACGAUGUGCACCAUCGCAAAGUUGAGAAAUAUAAAAGACCGGAAGUUAUAUCUGCACUGCGGAGAGAAUUCGGAGUGUCGGGCAACGUCGAAGUCCUAUCCGCGACGUUAAACUGGCGUGGGAUCUGGAGCAAUCAAUCCGUUAGAAGAUUGAUAGCAAAGGGUCUCAUCUCAUCCGGUGACAGCAAUGUCAUUAGCGCCAGAGUGGUAACAGGCGGACUAUAUUGCUUCAGACAGUUCAUGUAUCUCGCAGGUUACACUCGAGAUUGGACUUAGCCUAUACACUAUGUUGGAGAGAAGACGCUUGCUACCUAGGCAAAAUGUGAAAUUAGGUAUAAACAUCGUGGUUGUAAAACUUGAGGUGGGUUUUUAGUACGUAUGCGUGAUUACUUCGUAAUCAUGAAUCGUGCAUGCUAGUGGGGUUUGGCCUCCACUAGUAUCUUUGAAGAUUUUCCUUCCUCAGCGAUCAAAAAAAAAAAAAAAAAAAAAAAAAUAGCCAAAUGCCUCGUCAUCUAAUUAGUGACGCGCAUGAAUGGAUUAACGAGAUUCCUACUGUCCCUAUCUACUAUCUAGCGAAACCACAGCCAAGGGAACGGGCUUGGAAUAAUUAGCGGGGAAAGAAGACCCUUUUGAGCUUGACUCUAAUCUGGCAGUGUAAGGAGACAUAAGAGGUGUAGCAUAAGUGGGAGAUAUUAGAUUUCGGUUUGGUAUCGACAAUGAAAUACCACUACUCUUAUUGUUUCCUUACUUACUUGAUUAAAUGGAACGUGUAUCAUUUCCUAGCCAUUAUACGGAUAUAUUUAUUAUAUCUUAUGGUAUUGGGUUUUGAUGCAAGCUUCUUGAUCAAAGUAUCACGAGUUUGUUAUAUAAUCGCAAACAAAUUCUUUAAUGAGAAAAUGCAUUUAUGUAUUUUCAAUUUGAAAAUUUGGUAUAACUCCAAUUACUCAGGUAUGAUCCAAUUCAAGGACAUUGCCAGGUAGGGAGUUUGACUGGGGCGGUACAUCUCUCAAAUAAUAACGGAGGUGUCCCAAGGCCAGCUCAGUGCGGACAGAAACCACACAUAGAGCAAAAGGGCAAAUGCUGACUUGAUCUCGGUGUUCAGUACACACAGGGACAGCAAAAGCUCGGCCUAUCGAUCCUUUUGGUUUAAAGAGUUUUUAACAAGAGGUGUCAGAAAAGUUACCAUAGGGAUAACUGGCUUGUGGCGGCCAAGCGUUCAUAGCGACGUCGCUUUUUGAUCCUUCGAUGUCGGCUCUUCCUAUCAUUGUGAAGCAAAAUUCACCAAGCGUUGGAUUGUUCACCCAUGCAAGGGAACGUGAGCUGGGUUUAGACCGUCGUGAGACAGGUUAGUUUUACCCUACUAAUGACAAAACGUUGUUGCGACAGCAUUCCUGCGUAGUACGAGAGGAACCGCAGGUACGGACCAAUGGCACAAUACUUGUUCGAGCGAACAGUGGUAUGACGCUACGUCCGUUGGAUUAUGCCUGAACGCCUCUAAGGUCGUAUCCGUGCUGGACUGCAAUGAUAAAUAAGGGGCAAUUUGCAUUGU
RNAcentral lists this ribosomal RNA (2620 nucleotides) under Drosophila persimilis. RNAcentral's name for it is "eukaryotic LSU rRNA". The stretch from base 1364 to 2620 matches the Rfam family "Eukaryotic large subunit ribosomal RNA", at positions 1889 to 3185 of the family's 3401-position model. Lineage: Eukaryota; Metazoa; Arthropoda; Insecta; Diptera; Drosophilidae. The record is from RNAcentral.